GAACGCUGGCGGCGUGCUUAACACAUGCAAGUCGAACGGUGAAGCCAAGCUUGCUUGGUGGAUCAGUGGCGAACGGGUGAGUAACACGUGAGCAACCUGCCCUGGACUCUGGGAUAAGCGCUGGAAACGGCGUCUAAUACUGGAUAUGAGCUCUCAUCGCAUGGUGGGGGUUGGAAAGAUUUUUCGGUCUGGGAUGGGCUCGCGGCCUAUCAGCUUGUUGGUGAGGUAAUGGCUCACCAAGGCGUCGACGGGUAGCCGGCCUGAGAGGGUGACCGGCCACACUGGGACUGAGACACGGCCCAGACUCCUACGGGAGGCAGCAGUGGGGAAUAUUGCACAAUGGGCGGAAGCCUGAUGCAGCAACGCCGCGUGAGGGAUGACGGCCUUCGGGUUGUAAACCUCUUUUAGCAGGGAAGAAGCGAGAGUGACGGUACCUGCAGAAAAAGCGCCGGCUAACUACGUGCCAGCAGCCGCGGUAAUACGUAGGGCGCAAGCGUUAUCCGGAAUUAUUGGGCGUAAAGAGCUCGUAGGCGGUUUGUCGCGUCUGCUGUGAAAUCCCGAGGUUCAACCUCGGGCCUGCAGUGGGUACGGGCAGACUAGAGUGCGGUAGGGGAGAUUGGAAUUCCUGGUGUAGCGGUGGAAUGCGCAGAUAUCAGGAGGAACACCGAUGGCGAAGGCAGAUCUCUGGGCCGUAACUGACGCUGAGGAGCGAAAGGGUGGGGAGCAAACAGGCUUAGAUACCCUGGUAGUCCACCCCGUAAACGUUGGGAACUAGUUGUGGGGACCAUUCCACGGUUUCCGUGACGCAGCUAACGCAUUAAGUUCCCCGCCUGGGGAGUACGGCCGCAAGGCUAAAACUCAAAGGAAUUGACGGGGACCCGCACAAGCGGCGGAGCAUGCGGAUUAAUUCGAUGCAACGCGAAGAACCUUACCAAGGCUUGACAUACACCAGAACACCGUAGAAAUACGGGACUCUUUGGACACUGGUGAACAGGUGGUGCAUGGUUGUCGUCAGCUCGUGUCGUGAGAUGUUGGGUUAAGUCCCGCAACGAGCGCAACCCUCGUUCUAUGUUGCCAGCACGUAAUGGUGGGAACUCAUGGGAUACUGCCGGGGUCAACUCGGAGGAAGGUGGGGAUGACGUCAAAUCAUCAUGCCCCUUAUGUCUUGGGCUUCACGCAUGCUACAAUGGCCGGUACAAAGGGCUGCAAUACCGUGAGGUGGAGCGAAUCCCAAAAAGCCGGUCCCAGUUCGGAUUGAGGUCUGCAACUCGACCUCAUGAAGUCGGAGUCGCUAGUAAUCGCAGAUCAGCAACGCUGCGGUGAAUACGUUCCCGGGUCUUGUACACACCGCCCGUCAAGUCAUGAAAGUCGGUAACACCUGAAGCCGGUGGCCCAACCCUUGUGGAGGGAGCCGUCGAAGGUGGGAUCGGUAAUUAGGACUAAGUCGUAACAAG
RNAcentral lists this ribosomal RNA (1454 nucleotides) under uncultured Actinomycetes bacterium. RNAcentral describes it as "SSU rRNA". It matches the Rfam family "Bacterial small subunit ribosomal RNA". Lineage: Bacteria; Bacillati; Actinomycetota; Actinomycetes. The record is from RNAcentral.